GGUGUAGUAGACCUUACAGUGAAAUGCUGAAUACAACAGGUGUAGUAGACCUCACAGUGAAAUGCUGAAUACAACAGGUGUAGUAGACCUCGCAGUGAAAUGCUGAAUACAACAGGUGUAGUAGACCUUACAGUGAAAUGCUGAAUACAACAGGUGUAGUAGACCUCACAGUGAAAUGCUGAAUACAACAGGUGUAGUAGACCUCACAGUGAAAUGCUGAAUACAACAGGUGUAGUAGACCUUACAGUGAAAUGCUGAAUACAACAGGUGUAGUAGACCUUACAGUGAAAUGCUGAAUACAACAGGUGUAGUAGACCUUACAGUGAAAUGCUGAAUACAACAGGUGUAGUAGACCUCACAGUGAAAUGCUGAAUACAACAGGUGUAGUAGACCUCACAGUGAAAUGCUGAAUACAACAGGUGUAGUAGACCUCACAGUGAAAUGCUGAAUACAACAGGUGUAGUAGACCUCACAGUGAAAUGCUGAAUACAACAGGUGUAGUAGACCUCACAGUGAAAUGCUGAAUACAACAGGUGUAGUAGACCUCACAGUGGAAUGCUGAAUACAACAGGUGUAGUAGACCUUACAGUGAAAUGCUGAAUACAACAGGUGUAGUAGACCUUACAGUGAAAUGCUGAAUACAACAGGUGUAGUAGACCUCACAGUGAAAUGCUGAAUACAACAGGUGUAGUAGACCUCACAGUGAAAUGCUGAAUACAACAGGUGUAGUAGACCUUACAGUGAAAUGCUGAAUACAACAGGUGUAGUAGACCUCACAGUGAAAUGCUGAAUACAACAGG
This is a long non-coding RNA of Oncorhynchus keta (chum salmon), 800 nucleotides long. RefSeq lists it as uncharacterized. Lineage: Eukaryota; Metazoa; Chordata; Actinopteri; Salmoniformes; Salmonidae. The record is from RefSeq and is a predicted model, not a curated record. The transcript has 4 exons.